CAGCCGCCGCGGGAAUACGUAGGUGGCAAGCGUUGUCCGGAAUUAUUGGGCGUAAAGGGCUCGCAGGCGGUUUCUUAAGUCUGAUGCGAAAGCCCCCGGCUCAACCGGGGAGGGUCAUCGGAAACUGGGAAACUUGAGUGCAGAAGAGGAGUGUGGAAUUCCACGUGUAGCGGUGAAAUGCGUAGAGAUGUGGAGGAACACCAGUGGCGAAGGCGACUCUCUGGUCUGUAACUGACGCUGAGGAGCGAAAGCGUGGGGAGCGAACAGGAUUAGAUACCCCCGUAGUCCCUGUCUCUUUACC
RNAcentral lists this ribosomal RNA (301 nucleotides) under uncultured bacterium. RNAcentral's name for it is "partial 16S ribosomal RNA". It matches the Rfam family "Bacterial small subunit ribosomal RNA", at positions 509 to 808 of the family's 1533-position model. The record is from RNAcentral.